CUGGUGUUUUGGGGCCCUUAAAUAGGACUAGGGCUAGGGUUAAGGUGGUAUUUUUUUCAUAAUUUUAUUCUAUGCAUCAUUUUUCUUAUUUGGUAUAGAAUCUUUCCUCCUUUGGAUAGGCUUCGAGCAACCACCAACCAUCUACUCCUUAUGCCGUCCCAAAUUUUUUGAUUUUAUUCUGAUUCCAAGGUAAAAGAAAGAAAGGAGGCAUGGUUAAUCAGAG
Molecule: long non-coding RNA, 223 nt
Filed under: Elaeis guineensis (African oil palm)
Lineage: Eukaryota; Viridiplantae; Streptophyta; Magnoliopsida; Arecales; Arecaceae
Description: long non-coding RNA (EGUI_LNC008264)
Source: RNAcentral